Molecule: long non-coding RNA, 1435 nt
Organism: Numida meleagris (helmeted guineafowl)
Lineage: Eukaryota; Metazoa; Chordata; Aves; Galliformes; Numididae
Exons: 4
Source: RefSeq, a predicted model, not a curated record
GAGCAGUGCUUACACAGUCAAGGUCUUUUAUGUUUCUCACACGAUCCUGCCAGUGAGGGGCUGUGGGGGCACGAGGAGCUGGGAGGGGACAGAACUAAGACAGCUGACAUGAACUGGCCAAAGAGACAUUCCAUGCCAUAUGCUGAACAAUAAAACUGGGGGAGUUGGCUGCGGGGGACUAGCUGGGCAUUGGUUGUUUGUUAGACAGACACGAAGCCCUUCAGGAAGUACAUGAAGAUGGAUGAGACCUACUGAAACUUCUUCCACAUUCUCUUUCCUCUGGAAGUCUUGCCAGUGUAUACCACUGCCUGAUCAUGUUCCUCAAGAAGGCUGCUUUCCCAUCCGUAGAAUUGCAAACUAGAAAUGAGAGAGAAGCACAACAGAAAGUGGACAAAGAACUAAGAAAGAAAUUGGGUAUUGUUAAAGAAAUAAGAAUCCAUCUCAAGAGGAUAAAUCCCAGUGAACUUAAAGAGGAUUCUGGCAAAGCUUCUCCAUUUAAAUGGAAGUUCCCCAAGAAGGCUGCUUCCCCAUCUGAAGAACUGCAAAGCAGAACUGAGAGAGUAGCACAACAGAAAGACGACAAUGAACUAAGAAGGAAAUUUGGUAUUGUUAAAGAUAUAAGAAUCCAUCUCAAGAGGUUAAAAUUUUAAUGCAAUUCCAUUGUUCAAGUUGCUUAUCUGUAGCAAAGUUAGCAAUCAAUAACAAAUUACUGUUUCUCUUAGAUCUAUUAUCCCUUGUUCAGUCUGUAGCAUUCAACUCACACCUUGUCAACUGAAUCUUAAACCAACGUCUACUACUCUUUCCAAAAUCUUUGAGAAAGGCCCACUUUUAUUGUCCCUGAGUGGGAACAACAUUGGUUUACACUCAGCAUUCAUGGAAAAUAGGCUGUAACUGUUUCAUGAAAUAUUUCAAGGCCAGAUAAAGCAAAACUUUCCAGAGUAUCUUAAAAGAGCAUAGGUAUGAAUUCCUUUUCUUUUUUCCUUUCUGCCAGUACCAAAAUAAAGGAUCUGGUGUUAAAAAGAAAGAAAGAAAGAAAUUGUGCUGGCUUUUUCUUAAUUUUUUCCCCAGUAAAUAUGCCAAGGUAGGUUGGUUCUUGUUUUAGCACUGUUUCUCCACCUAUCCAAGUUUUCAUUUCUCAACACGUGUCCCAAAAAUCAAGUAUGAUCAAAUACCUAAUGAAACACUUCAUGUUUAUUCUAGAGCUGUUUUACACAGAUACUUCCACUUGCCUGUCUGAUACUGAGAACUUUUCAGAUACCAACAGUGUUAUGAGAAAUUCUCAUUAACCUUAAUUAUUCCUGUCGCUGUCUUUUCACUAUUUUCUACUGAUAUCCUUCUCUUUGCAGAUAACAUUCCAUUUGUUGCAUUUUGUCAUUUCUGGAGUCUUUUUUUCUUUGUAAAUAGAAUUAUUCAAGUAAUAAAAAGAUGUUUUACC